CUCCUCUGCAUCCUACUCCCCAUUGUAUCAGCAUGUUUUAGAAAAAAGAAAAAAAGACUCUCAAUUUCCUAAAUAUAAAAGGGAAUUUGGUGCUGUAGGAUAACGUGACCUUUUCUUUAAAAGCUAUGCUAUUUUAAAAAUCUUUCCCGUCCCUCUUUCUGAACUCCCUCCAAGACUGAAAAAUCUUUGUUCAACAAAUAUUAAGUGCCUGCUACGUGCCAGACAUGAUUCAAGGUCUUGGGGAUACGGCAGAGAACAAACAUCGUCCCUGCUCCCAGAGUUGUACCCCCAAAGCAUACCAGCAUGGGGACCAAGAGACAGGAUCCAAUGGCCAUCUGUUUCACCAACAGGACAAAAGGAGCUCCCACACUGAUCCGCGUCUGCAGAACACAGCUGUGUGGAGACAGGAAGUCAAGAACCAAUGGCCAUCUACUUCACCAGUGGGACCACAGGCUCUCCCAAGAUGGCCCAGCACUCUCAGAGCAGCCUUGGAACUGACUACACCCUCUGUGGAAGGUAGGGAGGAAACACUGUUUUUGCUAAACUCUCCCCUGAGCUGCCAGCACGUGUACCCAACUGUCUAGCGGACGCCUCUGCUAAGAUGGCUCUUAGAUAUCUCCAGCGUAACGUCUACAAAACAGCACUCUCGACGCCCCUGCCCAAACUUAGCUCAGCAAAUGGGCACCAUCUCACCAACUGAUCAAGCAAGAACUUAGGAGUCAACCCUGAUUCAGUCCUCACAACAGCAUGUCUGGCUCCUUCUCCUCAUCGCCAGGUAUUGGCUAGACCUGAGUCCUCAGAUGUCAUAAACAACAUGUCCAACACUGGCUGGGUCAAGGCCACCAUUGGCAGUGUGUUUUCUUCCUGGCUUCAGGGA
This 877-nucleotide long non-coding RNA is filed under the name Equus asinus (donkey). RNAcentral's name for it is "lncRNA (ENSEASG00005023748.1)". Lineage: Eukaryota; Metazoa; Chordata; Mammalia; Perissodactyla; Equidae. The record is from RNAcentral.